GCUCAUCCUAAUCUCAGUCGAGAUUACUGCCUUAGCCCUGUCCUAUCAUCUGUAUAAUGGAGUUCGU
Molecule: transfer RNA, 67 nt
Filed under: Corydalis trisecta
Lineage: Eukaryota; Viridiplantae; Streptophyta; Magnoliopsida; Ranunculales; Papaveraceae
Description: tRNA-His
Source: RNAcentral